UAAAUAAAUAAAUAAGAAAGGGAGAAAAGGGGAGGGAAUUCAUGCGUGCAAACCAUCCUCUCGAAACUUCCUCUCUUGUUCUUCACUCACCCCUCAUGGACGCCAACCCCCUUGUGUCGUUUGUACCACUGCCAAUCGUUCAAUCACCACCGUUUGUCUCCCAUUGGCCGUCAAACCCAAUCGUCGUCGGUUGUUCGUGGGGUGUCAGUUUUGUUUGCGGCCAUUCAGCUCCAACCACCGGAUCCGUUGAGCCACGCACCGACUGUUCACAACUUAGUUGUUAGGCACGUCAAUUUCUGCUCCGCGUCGUGCUGCGCCACCCUAUGCCACCGCUAGCAUUGCCGAAUCUGGAAGUUGAGGUUAGCUUUGGGUUGUCCGGUGAGUUUUAUGUGUUUUUCUUGAAGAUCUAUACUACCCAUUAGCCUUUAAAUGACAAGUUUCUACCAUGUUUUGCUAUUAGAUUGGAGAGUAGCAGUGUCGUUUAGUUAUUGUCUAGCGGAUUUGAUAAGGUUUUCGUCAAGAUUUUGGUAGUUAGUAAAGGUGAGAAUUAUUAAGAUGUUGAUAUAGUUUUGGGUAAAGAUUUGUUUAUGUUAGUUGUAUGUUUUGAAGAGUUUUCGACUACCCAUUAAGUUUCGACUUUGAUUUUGUAAUACCCAUUACAUUUCGUUUUUAGAUUUCGAGUCCUUCGAGAUUUUAGUCGUUGUCCAGCCAUUCGGAAGCUCAAAUUUAGGCGUUUUGGCAUCACUUCGGUAAAAUUCUAAGAUUUAUAGAGUCGUGAGUACCCGUCUAAUAUUAGAGAUAAUAUUGAAUAACCCAUGAUGUUGGUGUUUUUUUUUCGAAUUUAGAAAGUACUUAUGUUGUUGUCCAUUGAAGUUAAGGGUACUUUGUUAAGUUCUUGGUAGGGUUUGGAAUAGUUUCCACAUAACAUCUCUGGUUUUUAUUUUGGUUUGAGCUACACAAGAAGAGUUAAAAUGUAAAGUUAGAUUCUUUUGAAAGUCAACUCAAUUUCUAACAAGUUUCGUGAAUAAAGCUUGAGCAAAUUCUAAGGCUAAAUGAAUGAUCUUUUGAAGUAGAAAACAAGUCACAAACUUUUUACGCAAUUUUGAAAAGCCUCUAGUUUUUUAAGUAUUCUAGAGGGUACAAAUGGAACUAAAAGCCCUAUUUCUAAGUUAUUAUAGAAAGGCAAGAAUACUUAAGGUCGUUUAAGACAAGUUUGGAUAAGUUUCUAUGUAUUUGACUUGUUUGAUUGGUAUUGAGAUUUUUAAUGGAUCUAAACCUCUAAGGUAGGAAUAUUGAAUAUAAGAGCGUAUGGAUACAAAAGACAACUUAAGUUUGGGUGCUUAUGACGUUAAGAGUUAAGUUGAAAUUUAAGGGUUCCAAAAGUGUAUUCACCUAAAAGACCCAUUGAGCUUGAACUAAAUUGGAUGCUCAUUGGGUUAAGUAUCUAGAUUUCGAGUCAAAAGGUUCAUGUAUGAAAAGCUUAGUCUAAUCCCAAGCGCUUUGGAAAUUCAUGGACCUUAGAAGUAUAAAAUGAAUUUAGGUGGCCUUAUAAGGUAUUUUGCAAAUAGUUGUAGUCUCGUGCUAUGUGGAGACAAUGAUGAGACCUUAAUCUAUGUUUUAGGCCAAAUUGAAAUGGGAAAAGCGUAUAAUCUUGAGGGAUCGAGUUUUUAAGGUGCUAAGUAUGUGUGAGCUCUGUUUGACCGCGUGUUUCCUUGUGGAUAUGGAUGGCGUGUGAGCUAUUUUGGGUCGUGUAUAUCAUUGUCGAAUUGGGUGGAAAUUACUAUCGUGGCGGGUAUUAAAUAUGCGUGAGCUAGUUGUGGCUAUAUGAUUCUUUGAUCAUGUGUGAGCUAUGCUUGAUCGUAUAUUUAAGUGUCUUGCCAUGGUCGAAUUGGCUACAGGUUUGUUUGUAUUACUUAUGAAUUAUGGUAAUAAAUGAUUUUAACGUUUUAAUUAUUAUUUCUUUAUGGAUGUCACAUUUAAAAAAUUUGGAAGUAUGUUUUACGAACUUUUAAUUCUAAAAACUUAUCACUCAUUAAGUUUUAUCUCACGUUUUCAAUGUUUUCUCCUCCUCCAAGUAGCGAUCAAAUACUAAGCGUCGGUUGAAUCUCCAUCAUCGAUUGUAGAUCUUCAUUUUGUAUGUAUAUAGUUAGUUUUGUGUUUGCAUCAUAGGGUAGUUAGAUGUAGCAAGAGAGACAUUAAGGACUUGUGCUUUGAAAGAUUCUUGAAUAAAUUGUAAUCAUUUUGUAUGUAAUAUCAAGCUUGAUUCGUAAUCUCUACUUGAAUUCUAAGAUCGUUUGGAUGUGUGUGGUGAGACACACUUGUUGUGUUGUAUUAUCUAAAUGAAGAUAUCUCCCCUUUCAGGUUUGGCUA
Molecule: long non-coding RNA, 2370 nt
Organism: Cucumis sativus (cucumber)
Lineage: Eukaryota; Viridiplantae; Streptophyta; Magnoliopsida; Cucurbitales; Cucurbitaceae
Exons: 2
Source: RefSeq, a predicted model, not a curated record